This is an RNA transcript of Prunus dulcis (almond), 2380 nucleotides long. It is a transcript of the gene named calcineurin B-like protein 1, with no coding region annotated. The transcript has 6 exons. Lineage: Eukaryota; Viridiplantae; Streptophyta; Magnoliopsida; Rosales; Rosaceae. The record is from RefSeq and is a predicted model, not a curated record.
UCUCCGCCCAUCUCCGCCCAUGUGCAGCCAAUCCAAAGGUGGACCCUCCUCGUUGUGAAAUUCAUGGUGUAUACUAUGAGGUUAUUCCGCGUUGUCCUCAUGAUGGUCUACCUGAAAUCGUAUUUCACGGGACUUUAAGUGGAAAAAUUCAUGCGUCGCUAUUCAUGGGGUUAGGGUCCUUAGCAUAUAGAAUGAACCACCAACACCUAAAUUUCAGGGUUAAAACAAACCUAAAACGUAGGUGGUUGCUAUCAAAACGGCGCCUCACUAGAUAGAACCUAUAUUCUAGUUUAACUCUUGGCACAAUAAAUAACGGGCUAUGACUCAGUAGGUUACGCAAUGUCCUUUUACAAUUCAAAUAUGAUAUUAUACAACCAAUCAUUACAUUAAUGACAAUGUAACAAUAUAAAAAUAUACUUAGUUUUCAUCAUGUUUCGAAGCCCAUAAGAAGAAGUCCAACUUCUUUGGAAAGUUGUUCCCAUGAAUUUUGUAAUAGAGGUCUGCGAACAACUUAGAAUCUCUCAAAAUGACACGAAUAGAGUGAGGUAGACCGAGACAUCUCAAUAGUGUCCUCUCGUUCCUCAUCCAUACCCCAUGAAGAGUAAUAUUUAGGUGAUCUUUUUAUAAAACCUCAAAACAUGGAGCAUGUCACUAAUAAUAUCGCUGCAACAUUAAAAAAUGAAUACGAAUAAAUAAAAAUGAAAAACAACAUACUGCAGUAAAAUAAAUGAAUAUGAAUAAAAAGAAUUGCAAAUUAUUAUACUUGUAUAUCGUACGCAGCUCUGGGACGAUGUGUUGGCUAUUUGGAUCUAUCAACUCAUGUGUAUUAUCCACUCAACAUUCGAGGCAGCAGUCUUUUGACGUGAAAGAGAAAAGCAUAUUGCAAUCGUGAAACCUUUGGAUGAGAUUAACGGGCAGCACGUAACAGAAGUCACAUAGCGACGAUAACAAACACCAUUCAUGGUGUAUACAUUGUUUUCAUAACGCUGAUACAGUUGUAGAUGAAUGGUGUUUGUUAUUGUCGCUUUUUGACUCCCGUUACAUGGUGCCCGUUAAUCUCUUCCAAAGGUUUUUCGAUUGCAGUACACUUGUCCCCUUCGAAUCAAUAGACUGCUGCUUUGGAUAUUGGGUGGAUAAUACAUAUGAGUUGAUGGAUCCAUAUACCCAAUAUAUCGUCCUGGAGCUGCGUACGAUAUACAGGUAUAAUAAUUUGCAUUUCUUUUUAUUCGCAUUCAUUUAUUUUACUGUAGUAUGUUGUUUUUUAUUUUUAUUUAUUCGUAUUCAUUUUUUAAUGUUGCAAUGAUAUUAUUAGUGUUAUGCUCCAUGUUUUGAGGUUUUAUAAAAAGAUCACCUAAAUAUUACUCUUCAUGGGGUAUGGACGUGAGGACACUAUUGGGAUGUCCCGGUCUGCCUCACUCUGCUCGUGUCAUUUUGGGAGAUGAUAAGAUGUUCACGAACCUCUGUUACAAAAUCCAUGGGAACAACUUUCCAAAAGAGUUGGACUUCUUCUUAUGGGUUUUGAAAUAUGAUGAGAACUAAGUAUAUUUUUAUAUUGUCAUUAAUGUUAUGGUUGGUUGUAUAAUAUCAUAUUUGAGUUGUAACAGGACAUUGCGUGGCCUACUGAGUCAUAGCCCGCUAUUCAUGGUGCUAAGAGUAAAACUGGAGUAUAUGUUCUAUCUAGUGAGGCGCCUCUUUGAUAGCAACCACCUAGGUUGGAGGUUUGUUUUUAACCUGGCGUUGGUGGUUCAUUCUAUAUGAUAAGGAUCCUAGUUACAAAGCGGGAACUGAGCAAGUACGAAAAUUGGUGUCCAGUUGCAUUUCUCAUGUGGCAGAAAUGCUGGGGAGCACAAUUCUUUGAGGCUGUGUAUGACCUCAUACUUAGCGAAGUGUGGCUUGAUCAUUUGGAUAUGGUCAGCUACCUAGUUUCUUCCCUAACUGCAUAUUCAACAAAAUCGACGCAUAAUUGCAGGUUCAAUAUCAUACAAGCCAGAUCAAACAUCUGAUAAUCUUAUAUUGGAACCAUGUGUCGUUUCCUGCACUACUUUUGCUUGAAGAGUUCCAAAGUUGAUAGACAUAGACUUGGGUAUGAAGACCCUACUAUUCUUGCGUCAGAAACUGCUUGAAGAAUUCCAACUUGCACUAUUUUAAAGCAGCGGUAAACAGAAUCUUUUUUGCGGACAGAAUGUUUGACUUGUUUGACAUCAAGCGUAAAUUUGGAGAGUUUGUUCGGUCAUUAAGUAUUUUUCAUCCAAAUGCUUCCAAAGCAGAAAAAAUAUAAUGUAUUAUGUCAUGAAUGAAGAUCAUGAUUUCCUUCUCUUUGUGCUAUUGUGAUUCUCCCAUACUCAUUAUAUGUAGGCCAAUAUCGAGAGAUGUUCUCAUA